CAAGUCGAGCGGCAGCGGGAAGUAGUUUACUACUUCGCCGGCGAGCGGCGGACGGGUGAGUAAUGUCUGGGGAUCUGCCUGAUGGAGGGGGAUAACUACUGGAAACGGUAGCUAAUACCGCAUGACCUCGUAAGAGCAAAGUGGGGGACCUUCGGGCCUCACGCCAUCGGAUGAACCCAGAUGGGAUUAGCUAGUAGGUGGGGUAAUGGCUCACCUAGGCGACGAUCCCUAGCUGGUCUGAGAGGAUGACCAGCCACACUGGAACUGAGACACGGUCCAGACUCCUACGGGAGGCAGCAGUGGGGAAUAUUGCACAAUGGGCGCAAGCCUGAUGCAGCCAUGCCGCGUGUGUGAAGAAGGCCUUCGGGUUGUAAAGCACUUUCAGCGAGGAGGAAGGCAGUCGUGUUAAU
Molecule: ribosomal RNA, 410 nt
Filed under: Yersinia bercovieri
Lineage: Bacteria; Pseudomonadati; Pseudomonadota; Gammaproteobacteria; Enterobacterales; Yersiniaceae
Description: bacterial SSU rRNA
Rfam family: Bacterial small subunit ribosomal RNA
Source: RNAcentral